Molecule: ribosomal RNA, 459 nt
Filed under: uncultured bacterium
Lineage: Bacteria
Description: partial 16S ribosomal RNA
Rfam family: Bacterial small subunit ribosomal RNA
Source: RNAcentral
CCUACGGGAGGCAGCAGUGAGGAAUAUUGGUCAAUGGCCGCGAGGCUGAACCAGCCAAGUCGCGUGAGGGAAGACUGUCCUAUGGAUUGUAAACCUCUUUUGUCAGGGAGCAAAGUCACCCACGUGUGGGUGUUGGAGAGUACCUGAAGAAUAAGCAUCGGCUAACUCCGUCCCAGCAGCCGCGGUCAUACGGGGGGUGCGGGCGUUAUCCGGAUUUAUUGGGUUUAAAGGGUGCGUGGGUGGUUUAUCAAGUCAGCGGUAAAAUGGUGGGGCUCAACUCGAACCAGCCGGUGUAACUGGUGGUCGUGAGUGGGGUAGAGGUAGGCGGAAGUCGUGGUGUAGCGGUGAAAUGCAUAGAUAUCACGAAGAACUCCGAUUGCGAAGGCAGCAUACCGGCGCGCGACUGACGCUGAAGCACGAAAGCGUGGGUAUCGAACAGGAUUAGAUACCCCGGUAGUC